Molecule: ribosomal RNA, 2886 nt
Filed under: Shigella flexneri
Lineage: Bacteria; Pseudomonadati; Pseudomonadota; Gammaproteobacteria; Enterobacterales; Enterobacteriaceae
Description: partial 23S ribosomal RNA
Rfam family: Bacterial large subunit ribosomal RNA
Source: RNAcentral
GGUUAAGCGACUAAGCGUACACGGUGGAUGCCCUGGCAGUCAGAGGCGAUGAAGGACGUGCUAAUCUGCGAUAAGCGUCGGUAAGGUGAUAUGAACCGUUAUAACCGGCGAUUUCCGAAUGGGGAAACCCAGUGUGAUUCGUCACACUAUCAUUAACUGAAUCCAUAGGUUAAUGAGGCGAACCGGGGGAACUGAAACAUCUAAGUACCCCGAGGAAAAGAAAUCAACCGAGAUUCCCCCAGUAGCGGCGAGCGAACGGGGAGCAGCCCAGAGCCUGAAUCAGUGUGUGUGUUAGUGGAAGCGUCUGGAAAGGCGUGCGAUACAGGGUGACAGCCCCGUACACAAAAAUGCACAUACUGUGAGCUCGAUGAGUAGGGCGGGACACGUGGUAUCCUGUCUGAAUAUGGGGGGACCAUCCUCCAAGGCUAAAUACUCCUGACUGACCGAUAGUGAACCAGUACCGUGAGGGAAAGGCGAAAAGAACCCCGGCGAGGGGAGUGAAAAAGAACCUGAAACCGUGUACGUACAAGCAGUGGGAGCACGCUUAGGCGUGUGACUGCGUACCUUUUGUAUAAUGGGUCAGCGACUUAUAUUCUGUAGCAAGGUUAACCGAAUAGGGGAGCCGAAGGGAAACCGAGUCUUAACUGGGCGUUAAGUUGCAGGGUAUAGACCCGAAACCCGGUGAUCUAGCCAUGGGCAGGUUGAAGGUUGGGUAACACUAACUGGAGGACCGAACCGACUAAUGUUGAAAAAUUAGCGGAUGACUUGUGGCUGGGGGUGAAAGGCCAAUCAAACCGGGAGAUAGCUGGUUCUCCCCGAAAGCUAUUUAGGUAGCGCCUCGUGAAUUCAUCUCCGGGGGUAGAGCACUGUUUCGGCAAGGGGGUCAUCCCGACUUACCAACCCGAUGCAAACUGCGAAUACCGGAGAAUGUUAUCACGGGAGACACACGGCGGGUGCUAACGUCCGUCGUGAAGAGGGAAACAACCCAGACCGCCAGCUAAGGUCCCAAAGUCAUGGUUAAGUGGGAAACGAUGUGGGAAGGCCCAGACAGCCAGGAUGUUGGCUUAGAAGCAGCCAUCAUUUAAAGAAAGCGUAAUAGCUCACUGGUCGAGUCGGCCUGCGCGGAAGAUGUAACGGGGCUAAACCAUGCACCGAAGCUGCGGCAGCGACGCUUAUGCGUUGUUGGGUAGGGGAGCGUUCUGUAAGCCUGUGAAGGUGUGCUGUGAGGUAUGCUGGAGGUAUCAGAAGUGCGAAUGCUGACAUAAGUAACGAUAAAGCGGGUGAAAAGCCCGCUCGCCGGAAGACCAAGGGUUCCUGUCCAACGUUAAUCGGGGCAGGGUGAGUCGACCCCUAAGGCGAGGCCGAAAGGCGUAGUCGAUGGGAAACAGGUUAAUAUUCCUGUACUUGGUGUUACUGCGAAGGGGGGACGGAGAAGGCUAUGUUGGCCGGGCGACGGUUGUCCCGGUUUAAGCGUGUAGGCUGGUUUUCCAGGCAAAUCCGGAAAAUCAAGGCCGAGGCGUGAUGACGAGGCACUACGGUGCUGAAGCAACAAAUGCCCUGCUUCCAGGAAAAGCCUCUAAGCAUCAGGUAACAUCAAAUCGUACCCCAAACCGACACAGGUGGUCAGGUAGAGAAUACCAAGGCGCUUGAGAGAACUCGGGUGAAGGAACUAGGCAAAAUGGUGCCGUAACUUCGGGAGAAGGCACGCUGAUACGUAGGUGAAGCGACUUGCUCGUGGAGCUGAAAUCAGUCGAAGAUACCAGCUGGCUGCAACUGUUUAUUAAAAACACAGCACUGUGCAAACACGAAAGUGGACGUAUACGGUGUGACGCCUGCCCGGUGCCGGAAGGUUAAUUGAUGGGGUUAGCGCAAGCGAAGCUCUUGAUCGAAGCCCCGGUAAACGGCGGCCGUAACUAUAACGGUCCUAAGGUAGCGAAAUUCCUUGUCGGGUAAGUUCCGACCUGCACGAAUGGCGUAAUGAUGGCCAGGCUGUCUCCACCCGAGACUCAGUGAAAUUGAACUCGCUGUGAAGAUGCAGUGUACCCGCGGCAAGACGGAAAGACCCCGUGAACCUUUACUAUAGCUUGACACUGAACAUUGAGCCUUGAUGUGUAGGAUAGGUGGGAGGCUUUGAAGUGUGGACGCCAGUCUGCAUGGAGCCGACCUUGAAAUACCACCCUUUAAUGUUUGAUGUUCUAACGUGGACCCGUGAUCCGGGUUGCGGACAGUGUCUGGUGGGUAGUUUGACUGGGGCGGUCUCCUCCUAAAGAGUAACGGAGGAGCACGAAGGUUGGCUAAUCCUGGUCGGACAUCAGGAGGUUAGUGCAAUGGCAUAAGCCAGCUUGACUGCGAGCGUGACGGCGCGAGCAGGUGCGAAAGCAGGUCAUAGUGAUCCGGUGGUUCUGAAUGGAAGGGCCAUCGCUCAACGGAUAAAAGGUACUCCGGGGAUAACAGGCUGAUACCGCCCAAGAGUUCAUAUCGACGGCGGUGUUUGGCACCUCGAUGUCGGCUCAUCACAUCCUGGGGCUGAAGUAGGUCCCAAGGGUAUGGCUGUUCGCCAUUUAAAGUGGUACGCGAGCUGGGUUUAGAACGUCGUGAGACAGUUCGGUCCCUAUCUGCCGUGGGCGCUGGAGAACUGAGGGGGGCUGCUCCUAGUACGAGAGGACCGGAGUGGACGCAUCACUGGUGUUCGGGUUGUCAUGCCAAUGGCACUGCCCGGUAGCUAAAUGCGGAAGAGAUAAGUGCUGAAAGCAUCUAAGCACGAAACUUGCCCCGAGAUGAGUUCUCCCUGACCCUUUAAGGGUCCUGAAGGAACGUUGAAGACGACGACGUUGAUAGGCCGGGUGUGUAAGCGCAGCGAUGCGUUGAGCUAACCGGUACUAAUGA